AGAAUUACCCAAGGAAAAUAAAAAUGGCAAAAUCUACAUAAUCACUGGAAGAUAAUAUAUGUCCACUGUGGAAAAAAUUAUCAAAUUCCAACAGACACAGAGAAGAAACAUCUAUAUUCCCAUCAUUCAAGAUAAAUAUAAAAAGUAUGUAAAUUUCUCAAUUAAAAAAAUCUUUAAACAAUAGUGGACUAAUGACAACAGUAUUCUAUAACCUGUUCUUUUCUGUAAAAAAAAUGAAGAAUGAACACAUUUACAUGUCAAUCAAUGUACAUUCACCUAAUAUUUGAAUGGAUAAACAGGGUAUCAGUAAAUCAUAAUUUAUUCAACCAAUUCUCUAUUGUUGGAAAUUUAAGUUUGUUAUAAUUGCUUGCUAUUAUAAGCAACAAUGCAAAGAACAUCUAUAUGCACUAAUAAUCUGAAAUAUAUUUCUUCAAAACAGAAAUGAUAAAGUUAAAAGUAUACAGAUUUUUAGGUUUUGCCACACAUUGCCAAACUGCCCUUGUGCUAGAUAUUCAAUGUCGUUCCUCAAUAAAAUUACCCAGCCUUUUAUGUUCUGUUCCGUAACCUGGGAAGCUAACCUCUAUGAACUAACCAAGAUUCCUUGUUCUCUGGCUUCUAGAUGGGUUCAGCCAUGGAAAGCACUGGCAGAAGAUCAAAGGUGAGGGAGACAGGUUGGAAUAUUAUUCCUCCCAAAUACUUCUCUGUUAGGCCACAGCUUGGAAUUGGCUGCACUCUUCCACCAAAAGUUACAUCUUUUGUCAGACAGCCCUACUCCUGUAGUUCUUACUAGGUUGGUAACUGCCCAGGCACCUUGUUCCUUCAACCUUAGGGUGGUAACAACUUUGUAACCGCCCAACGGGUUCACCUUGCCCGCUGCCUAGACAAAGCUGAUUUAUCAAGACGGGAAUUGCAAUGGAUAGAGACGCAGAGCCAGCUGUGCGGGACACCG
This 949-nucleotide long non-coding RNA is filed under the name Homo sapiens (human). RNAcentral's name for it is "HSALNT0154038". Lineage: Eukaryota; Metazoa; Chordata; Mammalia; Primates; Hominidae. The record is from RNAcentral.